GAAGCCAGGCCAAGAAGAAUCCCAGGACUGGAAGGCCUUGUGGGACGUCCCAGGUUUGUCUUGUGUCAAUAGCACUGAUACUCAAUCUCCUACUCCCAUCUGUGAGCAUGCAGACCCUACUUGCCUUCCCACAGCCUCCCUUUUCAUAUUUUUCAUGUUUCUUUAGCUCUGUCUUCAAGCCUUGUUGCUCCCGCAAAAAAACCUGCCUCUUCCUCCAGUCCUCCCAAGCAGGGGGAACAGUCCUGACACCUUUCCAAGCCCUGGUCCAUGGACAUUGUGCCCCCUUCUCCCUGCCCAUGGUGACCUGCUCCAAAACCCUCAAGGAGAAGGGAGUGUAUGUCAUUUCCUCCCUGUAAAGUAAAGAUAAUUUUGCAGGGGACUGUGUGGAUGAAAUGACAUGAUGCAUGGAAAUCCCUUAGCGUGUGCCUGGCAUGUAAACUGCAGGUGUCAUCAUUAUUACUGAGGAAUACUGAGUCCCGAACAUGGCUGUCUCAUUGGUGGACUGGGGUCUCCCCCAGGGCAUUCAUCUACUAUGUGUUUAUUGCACCCUUUUUCCAUGUGAGGCACAUGCCAGGGACUGGGCACAUGGUAUGAACAAGACACAGGUCAUCGGUGUCCUCUUGAGCUCCCUGGCUUGGCAGCAGAUGCAUACCUGGGAAGGAUGCUAGGUCAUCCGGGAACUCUACCUCCUUCAAAUCCCUAAGGACUGUGCUCCCAAUCCGCUUACGCUCAAGGAAGAACUGGCAGGACCUGCAGCUAAGCAAGACGUAGGACUGCAAGCUGGGUUGGCACCCUCCCCCUAGGGAGUUCUCCAGGCCUUGCCCCCUCUGUCCCCAGCCUGGAAGCCCUCCCUGGUACCAUACCCCAGCCGAUGAGUAUGUACCCCCAGAAGUACUUCCGCUCAGAGAAGAAGGAGACGGCAAGCAGGGUGUACAGGGAAGGCCUCCCUCUCCAGGACUCCUUUAGAUUUCCCCAGCAUCCAGACCUCACCUGCCUAAGUGCUGUUGCCCUGGAAGCCACAGUGAGCACGAGCUCCAUCUUGCACCUUUACCAGCCAAUGGGGGUAAAGACAUUAGCUGAAAUACUUCUAAGGGGCCAGGCGUGGUGACUCAUGCUUGUAAUUCCAAGCACUUUGGGAGGCUGAGGCAGGUGGAUCACCUGAAGCCAGGAGUUCAAGAGCAGCCUGGCCAACAUGGCGAAACCCUGUCUCUACUAAAAAUACAAAAUUUAGCCAGGCAUGGUGGCGGGAGCCUGUAAUCUCAGCUCCUAGGGAGGCUGAGCCAGAAGAAUCGCUUAAACCUGGAAGCUGGAGGUUGCAGUGAGCCAAGAUCACACCACCACACUCCAGCCUGGGUGACAGAGCAAGACUCCAUCUCAAAAAGAAAAAAAAGAAAAAAAGGAAAUACUUCUAAGUUAUGUGAGAGAGUACAUACUGACAUUUUCAAUGGGUACAAUAA
This 1457-nucleotide long non-coding RNA is filed under the name Homo sapiens (human). Its description in RNAcentral is "PREDICTED lncRNA (TCONS_00191774)". Lineage: Eukaryota; Metazoa; Chordata; Mammalia; Primates; Hominidae. The record is from RNAcentral.